This 618-nucleotide ribosomal RNA is filed under the name uncultured bacterium. Its description in RNAcentral is "bacterial SSU rRNA". It matches the Rfam family "Bacterial small subunit ribosomal RNA", at positions 169 to 803 of the family's 1533-position model. The record is from RNAcentral.
CCGCAUAAGCCCACGACCCGGCAUCGGGUAGAGGGAAAAGGAGCAAUCCGCUUUGAGAUGGCCUCGCGUCCGAUUAGCUAGUUGGUGAGGUAACGGCCCACCAAGGCGACGAUCGGUAGCCGGACUGAGAGGUUGAACGGCCACAUUGGGACUGAGACACGGCCCAGACUCCUACGGGAGGCAGCAGUGGGGAAUAUUGCACAAUGGGGGAAACCCUGAUGCAGCGACGCCGCGUGGAGGAAGGAGGUCUUCGGAUUGUAAACUCCUGUUGUUGAGGAAGAUAAUGACGGUACUCAACAAGGAAGUGACGGCUAACUACGUGCCAGCAGCCGCGGUAAAACGUAGGUCACAAGCGUUGUCCGGAAUUACUGGGUGUAAAGGGAGCGCAGGCGGGAAGACAAGUUGGAAGUGAAAUCCAUGGGCUCAACCCAUGAACUGCUUUCAAAACUGUUUUUCUUGAGUAGUGCAGAGGUAGGCGGAAUUCCCGGUGUAGCGGUGGAAUGCGUAGAUAUCGGGAGGAACACCAGUGGCGAAGGCGGCCUACUGGGCACCAACUGACGCUGAGGCUCGAAAGUGUGGGUAGCAAACAGGGUUAGAUACCCUGGUAGUCCACACUGU